UCAGAAGCAAGCAAGAAGGAGAAAAACAGGCUGAUCAGUAACAAUAAUCAUUGCUUUGGUCUGGGAUGUUUCCUUACAAUUUUGUUUCGAAAAUGAUUUGUUUUUCAGCAUACCGAAAAAGUGGCAAAUACAGAGUGCUUGGAUGAUGAGACCCAGUACCAUAUCUUGAAAAGGCUCUUACUGCAUGAAAGGCACCUUUGGGAAACAUGGCUUGGGGGAAAAAAUGAAGAGGAAGAAACAGAUCAAAGAGGUUCAAAUCAUCUUUUCCCCUUCAUAUUUCUCAUGCUUCCAAAGAGCAGCACUGAAGUACAAGCCUGGAAAAGAGGAUGCCUGGAUGUACCUUUCAGCUGCUGCAAGGAUUUGGAGCCCCAGGGAGGUUUGGGCUGGAAAGCUUCCAGGAAGAAAGACGCAGUCCUGCUGAGCAGAGGUCCCAGGCAAGCAAGCAAAGGUUACCAACAAGGUCCCCGCAGCUUGUUAGACUCGCCCAACCUCCAGUGCCUUUGGCUGCCUUUGGUGUUUCUCUACAUGAGAUGGAUUAAAAACCUCAUAUCCCAGAACGUGAGCAUGAUACCAGAGGAAAGAGGCUCCCACUCCCAGUGAAAUGGACAGAGUAACUGACACUUUGUGUGGUUGGGAACUUUCAUAAGUGUUUUUUUGGCCGGGUUUCAUAAGCACUUUUUUAUCCAGGGUUACAGAGUUACAAGUCGCUGAUGUGUUUGCGGUGUUAAGGCUGAAGGCUGCACCUCUGAUGUUAAUUGAAUCCUGUGAUCCCUAGCAUGCCCUUGCAACACCAAUAACUGAAACAUCUGGCAGAGCCAGCACAAGUGCAUUAGAGCCCUGGUUCCAACAGCAAUUAAAAAAGGGGGGAGAAAAAGAGAAAAAGCCAAUUACAUGUAAUUGGAUUCAGUAAACUGAAUUAUCUCACUAUUAAAGCGGUGCUUGUUUUUCAGAUAGUGGGACAUUAAAACUAUCAAAAGCAUUAAUUGAUUCAUCCCUUUUUUCAAGUGCUUUCCCAACAGUGCCUCUAUUCAAGAGCUGCAACCUUUUGUUCGCAUGGGGAGUCUGAAUUAUACAGACCAUGUUUAUAUCUUGGUAGCUCUAUUCAUUCUGACUUUUUUGUCAUGUUGGUGUUUUAACUCAAAAAUGAGCUGAAACUCCUGCAAAACAUAAUGGAAGGUUUAUUUCUUCUUUUGUGGUGCCUUCACUGUAGCUGGAGGUGUAAUUUAACAAGGGAGAGAGGGAGGGGGAUGUUUUGAGGCUGAUUCUUAGUCAUUCAGGUCUCGCACGUGGGAGCUGUGUGGAUGGGUAGGAAGCCAAAAGGAGCCAGGCGCCUUCUCUGUGCUGCUGUGUUAUGCUGCUUGGCAGACGUCUGUUCUCCGUAGCACCUUUUAGCACAGCUCCAAGGUUGCAUAAGGCAAAUUCCUCUUCCUAUGCCCUCUGCAGCCACCUUUCAACAAAGGAUGCUCAGAAACCCAAAGAAUUUCGGGGCCACCACUGACCCCAGGGGCUCAGAGCAGUGCUGUCAGAAGACCCCUUACACCCGUAGCCAGGGAUGUCAGGGAGUUGCUCUGUGCCCCAGUGGAACAUUUGUCGCCAUGCAUGAUUGAGGGUGAGGCCCCCUCCAUCUUUCUUUCUGCCUUACUAAAUGGGUACUGAAUGCUGGAAAAGUCAGCCAUGAGAAUAAGUCAGAUCCAAUGAGUUAUUUAGGCAAAUUGAAAGCAUUAUGUCAAUUUGAUGGGAAGCGUUUCAGGCCAGAAUGGUACUAUUGGCAUUUUCUUCCUUCUGAAUCAAUAGCUCCUAAAGGAUUACAAUUUAAUUUUUAAAGGGUAAUUCAAUCAAGAAUUUGAAAACACAGGACAUUCUUAAAAUUAAACUUUAAUCAGAUUUAUUUAUUUUUUAAAAUUGUACUUGCGGAAAAAGAAGAACAAUUUCCAAACUGUCCUUCACCUUGGACUUCAAGGGGCAAUUCUCUCUAGUAUCCCUAGCAAGAAUCUGUCCCCUGUGCUUACUUCGAGUUGCUCUUGUUUAUGCCAGUUCUACUCAGACAUGUUUCUGUUAAUGCCCUGAAAAGACAUCUUGCUAAAAAAAAAAAAAACACCAAAGACUUGGCUGAGGUUUUCAAUGGUUACUGCCCCCUGCACCGGCUGAUCUCUGGUUUAUUCUGGGCAAUGCCACAGUUUGAAAGCCACUUAAGCAGCAUGAGAUUCCCUCAAAUGCCGAUUUGGAAAACUUGAAGCAGGUAUAAAUACCUGUGUUUUAAUCGCUAUGCCUCAGUCCGAAGUUUAGAUCCUCAGAACUGUUUGUCUGUAGAUGCCUAAGCCGUGAGUCACCAGAGUUUUGCAGGUACCGAAGUGGUUUUGUGUGCCGUGUUGUAUAUCCUGGUGCAGAAACUUUCACCUCUCGGCUCCCUCCUGGCACAGAGCAGCUCCGCUGGGAUAGAGCAGCACAAGCCCAGAAGGACACCUGCCUUCAUCCCUGCCCCACCUGCUUCGGCCCUGCGAGAGCACAACUUCUGGUUCAUGCUGGCUUUUAGGGAGUUGUCUUGGGUCUCGGCGUCUUUGCGAUUGGCUCCACAUUUCAGGUGGUAAAAUCCUCCCCAUUCCUAAAUGUCAGCUGCAGGCCUUCUGCAGCAUUGCAGCUGCUAAGCACAGACUCACCCCAACUCCCACAGGACCCCAGGCAGCGGUCCUUCCUCUGCAUAGCCCUUCUGUUGGGUCUGAUCCAGAAGCUGUCUUCUAAAAGAGCCUGUCCAAGUGUCCUACGCCACAUCAGAACACAUCUGGAAGGAGGAUGGAGCUACAGUGGUGUAUUGGGCAUAAUCUGCAGGGGUUCAGUAGCAGGGGGCUGCCGCGGUGACCUGUGCGGGAGGAGGCCGUGAUCUGCCCGGUGCCAGUCCCAGGCAGCUCCAGCCAGAGCUGUGAAAGAGAUGAGAACGACCCACUGCGUGCCAGAGCUUCAGCCAGGCACAGCAGCACCGGCACCUCUGCAAAAAUACUUGGGGAAAAAGUGGCAGCCUCUGGGGGUGAGAGACAAAAGGAGAUACGAGAGGAUGCCUGGGAGGAGACACGUGAGAGGACGCACAAGGCAAGAAAGGGAAGAGAUGAAUAGAUGUUGUGAGACAUGAGAGAAGAAAAUGGAGAAAUGGAGGGGACCCAUGGAAGAAAACACUGGAGAGCCAGCUGGAGAUGCACUUUUGGAAGGAAGCGCUCCAUGUCAGAGGAGGUACCUGUGACAUAUCGGGGUCUUUGUGGUCUGUGAGCAGGUACACCUCCAGAGCCAUCCCUGCUGUGCCCCGUGGGGCUGGCCAGAGGCCACUGGAUUAGGAAGCAUCUGAACGACAGGUGUAAGGACUUCACCAGUGCUUGAUUGCAGAACUGAUGUCCUAAAAGUAGCAGAGGACUUUGCUCAAGUGUUUAAUCUGCAUCUCUAGGCAUCCGAGGCAGAUGCCAGGACUGUGAAGACAUCUUGCCUUAUUGGUUAGCCCCUGACUUCAGCAGAAGUAACGUGUUAAAGCCUGGGGCUGCGGAGGGGUUGCACAGGGAGCCAUUAGCAACCGGGUGGGAAUUGCAGUCUUGGCAGAUGAUGCAGUCAGGACACAAGGGAUGCUGAUCUCAUAGGAGGGCAUGACACAGAAGUGGCAAAGAGCACUCAGAACUGUUCUGGGGACUAAAACUUUCCAGAUAAACCAGAUCAUUUUUUCUCCAGUUCUUCCAUGAUUUUUUUAUUAAGUGCUUCUUCUAAUAUUUUUCAUAAUUUACUUCCCAGGUCCUAAUUCUGCUGCACUUUGGAAUUAAGAACCUAUGUCCAUUCAGUGGUAGUAACUCUGAAAUCAAAUUACUGAUAAUCACAACAGCUUUCCAUUUGCAGAAGUCACAGUGACACUGCAGAAAGCAACGGGUGAUGAAACGCUGCUGUGGUACGCCCUCACCUCAGUACAGCAAGACGUGUUCUCUCAAAAGCAAUGAUUCCUUUAGAUUUCAUUAGAAACCCUCAUUCAGAGAACCCUCCUCUAAAUAAUGUGUACCUGACACUUUUUGUCAUGCAAGCCACACAGCGAUCAAGGACACUUUAGGUGGAGUAGUGAAAUAGGGUGACACAUGGCACGGGGAAACGAUAAUGAAGAUAAUUAUGAAGAUAAGGUCCCUUUGGGAAACCAUUGUACUAAAUGCCUCAGAAAAUCUGAACUACCAAGAGGUUUUUCCAUAACCACUCUUUUCAUGAAGAAGUACUUACACGUCCCAGAACAUCAAGGUUAAAAAUGCUGCCUGCUUCAUUAUUUUAAGACAAUGGAUUUCUUUCGAACUGUUGUUUAUGUGCCAGAUGGGCCAGUGAUGUUUUGCUUGAAAUAGAGACAACUGUGUGAUUACAAAAUGCAAUAAAAACCCCAAACACCUCUCUGGCUGAAAUGUG
Molecule: long non-coding RNA, 4410 nt
Filed under: Anser brachyrhynchus (Pink-footed goose)
Lineage: Eukaryota; Metazoa; Chordata; Aves; Anseriformes; Anatidae
Description: lncRNA (ENSABRG00000009351.1)
Source: RNAcentral